CGGGGGGAGCAAGCGUUGUUCGGAUUUACUGGGCGUAAAGGGCGCGUAGGCGGCCACCGCAAGUCGACUGUGAAAUCUCCGGGCUUAACUCGGAAAGGUCAGCCGAUACUGCGGGGCUAGAGUGCAGAAGGGGCAACUGGAAUUCUCGGUGUAGCGGUGAAAUGCGUAGAUAUCGAGAGGAACACCUGCGGCGAAGGCGGGUUGCUGGGCUGACACUGACGCUGAUUGUGCGAAAGCUAGGGGAGCGAACGGGAUUAGAUACCCCGGUAGUCCUAGCCUUAAACGAUGAAUGCUUGGUGUCUGGGGUUUUAUAGUCCCCGGGUGCCGUCGCUAACGCUUUAAGCAUUCCGCCUGGGGCGUACGGUCGCAAGACUG
This 375-nucleotide ribosomal RNA is filed under the name uncultured organism. Its description in RNAcentral is "bacterial SSU rRNA". It matches the Rfam family "Bacterial small subunit ribosomal RNA", at positions 526 to 896 of the family's 1533-position model. The record is from RNAcentral.